GGUUGGACCUGCGGAAGGAUCAUUA
RNAcentral lists this ribosomal RNA (25 nucleotides) under Lodderomyces parapsilosis. Its description in RNAcentral is "Candida parapsilosis partial 18S ribosomal RNA". The record is from RNAcentral. Lineage: Eukaryota; Fungi; Ascomycota; Pichiomycetes; Serinales; Debaryomycetaceae.